Molecule: long non-coding RNA, 233 nt
Filed under: Carica papaya (papaya)
Lineage: Eukaryota; Viridiplantae; Streptophyta; Magnoliopsida; Brassicales; Caricaceae
Description: long non-coding RNA (CPAP_LNC013286)
Source: RNAcentral
GUUCAAAAUUUAACACUCAGUUUAGUAAGAGUUAAAUAUUUCUCAAACUCAUAAUCAUUUGGGGAACAUACACCAAGUAGCUUUCUGAACUUCUGGAAUGCAGGAAAUUUAAGUGGCUUGGUUAAGAACAUCAGUAAUAUGCUAUUCACUCUUGCAAUAAACGACAUCUAUAGGAUUCUUCACAAAAAUGAUACUUCACAUCUAUAUAUUUGCUCUGACUGUAUAAAACAGGA